This 459-nucleotide ribosomal RNA is filed under the name Fejervarya limnocharis (Boie's wart frog). Its description in RNAcentral is "partial small subunit ribosomal RNA". The record is from RNAcentral. Lineage: Eukaryota; Metazoa; Chordata; Amphibia; Anura; Dicroglossidae.
UUAAUGGUUAAGAUGAACCCUAAAAAGUUUCUAAAAGCACAAAGAUUUGGUCCUGGUCUUAUUGUCAGUUAUCUCUUGAUUUACACAUGCAAGUCUCAGCACACCAGUGAGGACGCCCUUACCCCUUCUAUAGGACAAGGAGCUGAUAUCAGGCACUUCCACCGCCCAUAACAUCUAGUCCGACCACACCCCCAAGGGUAUUCAGCAGUGAUAAACAUUGUUUAUAAGCGACAGCUUGACUCAGUCAAAGAGAAGAGGGCCGGCCAACCCGGUGCCAGCCGCCGCGGCUAAACCCUAGGGCCCAAAUUGAUAAUACUCGGCGUCAAUCGUGAUUAAAGCUUUCUAAAAUUAGAGUAGAACCUAUUAUUAAGCUGUGAAAAGCAAUUUUUUUAGGGAAAAUCAGAAACGAAAGUUACUCUAAUAUACACUUGAACACACGACAACUGGGAAACAAACUGG